CAGUCUAGUGGUAUGAUUCUCGCUUAGUAAGUCGACUUAGACAUAAGUCUCUGCCUCAUCAUCCUAACAAAUCCUAGGGGUAAACCCAAGCACAGCUUGCGAGAGGCCCCGCGUUCGAGUCGCGGUAAGA
This is a non-coding RNA of Alternaria arbusti, 130 nucleotides long. The record is from the annotation of a RefSeq genome assembly. NCBI's taxonomy places the organism in Eukaryota, Fungi, Ascomycota, Dothideomycetes, Pleosporales, Pleosporaceae.